GUUACGGUGGCAGAGCCCGGCAAUUGCAAAAGGCCUAAGCCCUUUCAACAGGGGUUCAAAUCCCCUCCGAAACU
RNAcentral lists this transfer RNA (74 nucleotides) under Benthosema fibulatum (spinycheek lanternfish). RNAcentral's name for it is "tRNA-Leu (UUR)". It matches the Rfam family "tRNA". From Rfam's summary of the family: Transfer RNA (tRNA) molecules are approximately 80 nucleotides in length. Their secondary structure includes four short double-helical elements and three loops (D, anti-codon, and T loops). Lineage: Eukaryota; Metazoa; Chordata; Actinopteri; Myctophiformes; Myctophidae. The record is from RNAcentral.